This 344-nucleotide ribosomal RNA is filed under the name uncultured Verrucomicrobiota bacterium. RNAcentral's name for it is "bacterial SSU rRNA". It matches the Rfam family "Bacterial small subunit ribosomal RNA", at positions 29 to 351 of the family's 1533-position model. The record is from RNAcentral. Lineage: Bacteria; Pseudomonadati; Verrucomicrobiota.
AACGAACGCUGGCGGCGUGGAUAAGACAUGCAAGUCGAGCGCUGAUUACAGGGUAGCAAUAUUCUGUGGUCGGAGCGGCGCAAGGGUGCGUAACACGUGGGUAAUCUGCCAUGAAGUUUGGGAUAACUUGCUGAAAGGCGAGCUAAUACCGGAUGUGAAAACUGGAAGGCAUCUUCCGGGUUUCAAAGCUGGGGACCGUAAGGCCUGGCGCUUCAUGAUGAGCCCGCGACCUAUCAGCUAGUUGGUGAGGUAACGGCUCACCAAGGCUAAGACGGGUAGCUGGUCUGAGAGGACGACCAGCCACACUGGAACUGAGACACGGUCCAGACACCUACGGGUGGCAG